Molecule: small RNA, 628 nt
Filed under: Pongo abelii (Sumatran orangutan)
Lineage: Eukaryota; Metazoa; Chordata; Mammalia; Primates; Hominidae
Description: retained intron
Source: RNAcentral
GGGCCUUCACACCCAUGCUGUUCCCCCAGGUGCCUCCUCCCAGACCAGGCCUGGCUGAUCCUCCCCUUCCCUUUCCUUCUAGCAACCUGAACAAACCAUCCCUGUUCUCUGUGCUGCUGGGGGCCUGGCAGCUGGGGAACCCUGGCUCUCGGUCCCAGAAGGUGGGUGUUGCCUGGGUGCAGCCCCACCCUGUGUAUUCCUGGAAGGAGGGUGCCCGUGCGGACAUUGCCCUGGUGCGUCUUGAGCACUCCAUACAGUUUUCAGAGCGGGUCCUGCCCAUCUGCCUACCUGAUGCCUCUAUCCACCUCCCUCCAAACACCCACUGCUGGAUCUCAGGCUGGGGGAGCAUCCAAGAUGGAGGGGCUUCUUCAAGAGCUAGAAUCGCGGACUUUCAGUCCACAAUCUGCAGACCACAGUGGGUAGACCAGCUCCAGGCAAGGCAUGGGGAUCCCUCAGGUCCUGGUAAUUUUCAACAUCUAGUGGACAUUUAUUGAACACUUCUUCUAUAGCAGUCCUGGUGCUGGAUGAAGUAAUGCAGUAUUUGAGACAGGAAAAGCUCUAACCAUCUGUGGAUAUCAGAAAAUUUAUUAAAGAGUGCCCUUGCCCCACCCUCAGACCCUGCAGAAGC